Molecule: long non-coding RNA, 191 nt
Organism: Neoarius graeffei (lesser salmon catfish)
Lineage: Eukaryota; Metazoa; Chordata; Actinopteri; Siluriformes; Ariidae
Exons: 3
Source: RefSeq, a predicted model, not a curated record
UGCUCAUCAGUGAAAUUAUCCUAUUCCUGCUUGAGUUUAACUUUUACAGCUGGUGGAGUUGGGACUCGACUGUAAAAGCUGACAGAGCGAACAGGAGGGCGAUGCUGGUGCCAUGUGAUAUGGAGUAUCCUGUGUUUGUCUCAGAGCGCACGAUCAAAGAGACGGCAGGCAGCAUCGACUGCAACGGCUGU